GCUCAACGUGGAACUCUAUCAACUGUGGAAGGUAUAUUGGUACGAGCCGCAGAUGAAUUAGAAGCCCUUCAAGAGGAACGUAGGAAGGUGGAUCCUCAGACUGCUGAAGCAAUAGACCAGUUUCUCCUGAAACUGAAAGCUUGUGCCAUGGGAGAUUCAUCAUUCUCCUUCAUCUUGGAUGAUCCAGCUGGAAACAGCUUCAUUGAGAACCCAUUUGCACCAGCUAAAGAUCCAUCAUUAAGUAUCAAGUUUUAUGAGCG
RNAcentral lists this unclassified non-coding RNA (260 nucleotides) under Hevea brasiliensis (rubber tree). Lineage: Eukaryota; Viridiplantae; Streptophyta; Magnoliopsida; Malpighiales; Euphorbiaceae. The record is from RNAcentral.